AAACAGGAUUAGAUACCCUGGUAGUCCACGCCGUAAACGAUGUCGAUUUGGAGGUUGUGCCCUUGAGGCGUGGCUUCCGGAGCUAACGCGUUAAAUCGACCGCCUGGGGAGUACGGCCGCUAGGUUAAAACUCAAAUGAAUUGACGGGGGCCCGCACAAGCGGUGGAGCAUGUGGUUUAAUUCGAUGCAACGCGAAGAACCUUACCUGGUCUUGACAUCCACAGAACUUUCCAGAGAUGGAUUGGUGCCUUCGGGAACUGUGAGACUGGUGCUGCAUGGCUGUCGUCAGCUCGUUUUGUCAAUUGUUGGGUUAAGUCCCGCAACGAGCG
RNAcentral lists this ribosomal RNA (329 nucleotides) under Klebsiella pneumoniae. Its description in RNAcentral is "bacterial SSU rRNA". It matches the Rfam family "Bacterial small subunit ribosomal RNA", at positions 770 to 1098 of the family's 1533-position model. The record is from RNAcentral. Lineage: Bacteria; Pseudomonadati; Pseudomonadota; Gammaproteobacteria; Enterobacterales; Enterobacteriaceae.